RNAcentral lists this unclassified non-coding RNA (208 nucleotides) under Hevea brasiliensis (rubber tree). The record is from RNAcentral. Lineage: Eukaryota; Viridiplantae; Streptophyta; Magnoliopsida; Malpighiales; Euphorbiaceae.
UCGGAAAGGAUUGGUCAUGACGUUCGAUACGUUCGUGAUGCUGUUGAAACAUUGGAACUAAAAAUCAGUAGAAUAGAAGGGAAGCAGGAAAUGACAAACCUUGGAGUAAAGAAGUUGGUUGACUAUGCGUACAAUUUGGAAAACAACUUACUUGAAGAGAAUACUCAGGCUUCAUCAUCCAGUUCACGAAUUACAUUCUCAUCAAAGA